Long non-coding RNA from Macrobrachium nipponense, 940 nucleotides. RefSeq lists it as uncharacterized. The transcript has 3 exons. Lineage: Eukaryota; Metazoa; Arthropoda; Malacostraca; Decapoda; Palaemonidae. The record is from RefSeq and is a predicted model, not a curated record.
UUCUCUUUCAGAUGGACACGACCUGUCGAAUAUUCGUCUUGUAUUCGAUGUUAUAAUUCCCAUGCUUCUUUGCUGGCAAAAUUACAAGGAUAGUAGCACACACAGAAUUACAGAUGUCUGGAUGUGGAAUUCUGAUUCGAUGUACUCGGUGGCAGGACCUUUCGAAGGAUCGCUGUCCUAUAUUCACCUGGAAGGAGUAGUCUGCUGUCUCUACUGUCUGUCUGUCUGUGUCUCUAUCUAUCCCGCUGUCUGUCCGAUUGUAUGUCUGUUUGUCUGUCUGUCUGUCACAUCAAGCAAGAUAAAACCCAGCAGCCCAAAAAGUAUCUCGCAGCUAUUUAUAUCUCUCGUUUCCUUUCUCGUUCUUCCCUUCUCUCGCACCUCUCGUAUAUAUCUCCAUUAACCCUUUCCUUCCUCUCGUAGUUGCAUUCUUCUCUCUCUCUCUCUCUCUCUCUCUCUCUCUCUCUCUCUCUCUCGCCGGAGUGAUAUAUAGCGUUCCAAGCUUCCUCCGACUACAGAUAUUUGUAUGCUCUAAGUCUGGCUCCUUUCGGGGAAUUCCACACCCCUACCCCAACCCCGCCCCCUUACCCCAUCCCAGCUUCAAAGAUCUACUUAAGGUAAAGAUAAAGGGAAGCAAGAAGAAGAAGAUGAAGAAGAAGGAGAAGAAGAAGAAGAGGAGGAGGAAGAAGAAAGAAGAAUAAGGAGUUUGGAUUUCUUAUCUGGAGAUUCGAGAAGUGUUCGUUGGCUCUUCUGUAUCCUAAGUGUUUGUUUCCUUUCGCAAAGGAAGUGGCAUUUGUUUUUUUGUGUGUUGGUGAGAGUGCAGAGGACAACAGCAGUCAUCUUCCUCCCUGCCCUACGUAACCACAGUCCCUGUAUACCUUUGAUCAUGACCUUUGCUGGCACGAGGUCAACUUUAAUCUUAGAAAAUAAACUCUUGUUAUCC